UACGGCAACAUCACGUUGAAACACCAGUUCCCGUACGAUCAGCGAAGUUAAACAACGUUGAACAUGGCCAGUACCUAGAUGGGUGACCACGUGGGAAUACAAGGUGCUGUAAG
Non-coding RNA from Acanthosepion pharaonis, 113 nucleotides. Lineage: Eukaryota; Metazoa; Mollusca; Cephalopoda; Sepiida; Sepiidae. The record is from the annotation of a GenBank genome assembly.